AACGAACGCUGGCGGCAUGCCUAACACAUGCAAGUCGAACGAGACCUUCGUGUCUAGUGGCGCACGGGUGCGUAACGCGUGGGAACCUGCCCUUAGGUUCGGAAUAACUCCCCGACAGGGGUGCUAAUACCGGAUAAUGUCUUCGGACCAAAGAUUUAUCGCCUUUGGAUGGGCCCGCGUUGGAUUAGCUAGUUGGUAGGGUAAAAGCCUACCAAGGCGACGAUCCAUAGCUGGUCUGAGAGGAUGAUCAGCCACACUGGGACUGAGACACGGCCCAGACUCCUACGGGAGGCAGCAGUGGGGAAUAUUGGACAAUGGGCGAAAGCCUGAUCCAGCAAUGCCGCGUGAGUGAUGAAGGCCUUAGGGUUGUAAAGCUCUUUUACCCGGGAUGAUAAUGACAGUACCGGGAGAAUAAGCACCGGCUAACUCCGUG
Molecule: ribosomal RNA, 433 nt
Filed under: uncultured bacterium
Lineage: Bacteria
Description: partial 16S ribosomal RNA
Rfam family: Bacterial small subunit ribosomal RNA
Source: RNAcentral